GCUGGGCACAGAGGGCUGUUCCUGUAAUUCCAGCAACUUGGAAGACUGAGGCAGGAGGAUUGCAAGUUUGAGGCCAGCCCAGGCAAUUUAGCAAGCCCCUGUCUCAA
Molecule: small RNA, 107 nt
Filed under: Marmota monax (woodchuck)
Lineage: Eukaryota; Metazoa; Chordata; Mammalia; Rodentia; Sciuridae
Source: RNAcentral